Molecule: non-coding RNA, 128 nt
Organism: Populus trichocarpa (black cottonwood)
Lineage: Eukaryota; Viridiplantae; Streptophyta; Magnoliopsida; Malpighiales; Salicaceae
Source: Rfam
UUGAUAAGAGUUUGUCAGCUAGCCAAGGUGCUUGCCCAAAACCAAAUGGAAGGUGCCCAGUAAUAUAUUGGACCCAACUAAGAUGGUGGUGGGCAAGUCGUCCUUGGCUACCAAACAAGCUCUUAUCU